This 638-nucleotide long non-coding RNA is filed under the name Populus trichocarpa (black cottonwood). Its description in RNAcentral is "long non-coding RNA (PTRI_LNC001062)". The record is from RNAcentral. Lineage: Eukaryota; Viridiplantae; Streptophyta; Magnoliopsida; Malpighiales; Salicaceae.
AUGGCUAUGGAGGUGUAAGGUUUCCGGAGUGGGUAGGAAAGUCCUCUUUCUCGAAUAUAGUGUCUUUGAGGCUCAGUAGAUGUACAAACUGCACCUUCUUACCACCGCUCGGGCAAUUAGCUUCUUUAGAGCGUCUCUCAAUUGAAGCAUUCGAUAAAGUUGAGAUUGUGGGGUCUGAGUUCUAUGGGAAUUGUACUGCUAUGAAGAAGCCAUUUGAAUCCCUCAAAACAUUACGGUUUGAAGGAAUGCCAGAGUGGCGCGAGUGGAUUUCAGACGAAGGCAGCCGGGAAGGCUUCCCUCUUCUAGAGGAGCUUUUAAUCCAAGAAUGCCCGAACCUUGCAAAGGCCCUACCAUGUCACCACCUUCCACGUGUAACAAGUCUUACAAUUCGUGGAUGUAAGCAGCUCGCGACUCCACUUCCUAGGUUUCCGGAGUGGGUAGGAGAGUCCUAUUUGUCAAAUAUAGUGUCCUUGAAGCUCAUUAGAUGUACAAACAGCACCUCCUUACCACCGCUCGGGCAAUUAGCUUCUUUAGAGCGUCUCUCAAUUGAAGCAUUCGAUAAAGUUGAGAUUGUGGGCUCUGAGUUAUAUGGGAAUUGUACUGCUUUGAAGAAGCCAUUUGAAUCCCUCAAAACAUUA